CCUCUAGAGUUAUACAAAGAAGUCAAGGACAGAACCUACUACAAGGUUAAAACAGAACUUUAUUCAUUUAGUUUCCAGGUCAACACAGAAUUUAUCUAGCGUACAAAGAAAGUACAAAGAACUGAAGAACAGAACUUUAUGCGCAAGAUCAAAACAGAACUUUAUUCAAUUUAUUUUUCAUGGUCCGUGGACUCCACACAGAACUUUUCUAGAGUACAAAGAACUCACGGACAGAACCUAGUGCAAGAUUGAUACAGAAUAUUAUUCCAUUUAUUCUCACCAUCAACACAAAAUUUAUUGAGAUCACAAGGAACUUAAGGACAGAACCUAAUGGGAGGUUUAAACAAUUUAAGACGAUUUAUUUCUCUAUCUAUGUUAACACAGAAUUUUUCUAAAGUACCAGGAUUCAGGAACGCAAGGACAGUAUACACUACAAGGUUAAAACAGAGCUUUAUUCCAUGUACUAGUAUUUCUCCAUGUCUACACAAAACGUAUCUAGAGUGUAAGGGACUCAAGAAUAGUAUAUACGGCAAGGUUAAAGCAGAACUCUACUCAGUUUAUUUUUCCAUAUCAACACAAUUUAUGUAAAGUACAAGGAAUGCAAGGACAAAACCUAAUGCAAGGCUUCAACAAACUCUAUUCAAGUUAUUGUUACCGUUAUAUUUGUUUACUUGUUCACUUGUUCACAUAUUCUGUAGUUAGUUUAACUCAUGUUCCUUAUAUGUAGCAAGUUAAUAUUUGAAGACAACAGUAUUCAAGUUUAGACUUCCAAUACACGACAUUUUACCACACCUUCUUACUCACCCUUUGUUAAAUAGUCAGAGAGUUAGAGAAGGAAGAAAAGAGAAGGGAAAGAAGAGACAGAUCACGCCACUAUUGUAUAGUGUUAAUGUUAUAAGAGGUUUGGACCACCCCCAUGCAACUAGUGGUAGGGUCCGGUUGUUCAUCAUUAUGGGUUCCAUCUAGAUGUUGUCAAAUAGAUUGUGCUCCUGACUAUGCGCUCACUGUCAUCCUUGAGUCGUCACCGUACGUGUUCCCUAUUGGCGCAAUCGCAUGCAAUACAAUGGGAACAGAUCAUGUUAGAACUAACGUUAGGGUGUUUUUUUCUACGUGUGUUUUACACAUGAUACUAGUAUGUCGCUGUGGCUUAUAGCAUGCCCUCAGUCCCCGCCACGGCCAAUGGAAUGUUUGGAGAAUAUGUCAAAGCUUUCAAGUUUGAUGCAACGUAAACCAAGCUGAUUACGAACACAGCAGUCAUUUCGCUGCCAGGCAGAGAGGAGACAACACGGCUCUGGGACCUGUCUCUGAUGAUUAAUAACGACUGCCCCCACGCACUGCACUUCGGGGCUCAUCAUAAAGAUGUCUAAGAAGUACAACUAUAAUACUUGCAGUGAAAAGGAAACAUCUCAUCAACAUGGACUUAUUAUUCUUUUCCUUAUCACUUUUAUUCUUCUUAUUCUUAUUCAAAAGCGAAUCAACAUAUUCGAAUAUUUUGAAUAUUUUGUUGGGCUUAAUAAGUGUUCAGGUACAGGUUGAUAUGUGUGUGUCUCUCUGAUCUCUCGAUCUCAGCACAGGUCGGGCAAGAGAGAUCCACACGAACUCCUACCGCCGCAAGGGACGUCGCUGAUGGCUUACACUGGAAGACGAGCUGUAUCACUGAAGGGAAGGACAUCCGUGUGCAAAUUGCUACAAGGGCACUGAGGCUGGGUGCCAUGCAAAACCAGAAACAAUGUUGCCCGAAGGAGCAAGGCCAUGAGAGGGAAAUGCCAGACCGGCAGUAGAGCCGCAUGCAACCAAGCGAUUGUGCUGCUAUUGAAGGAAAAACUGACUGCAGUUAGAGAAUUCAUGGACUAACAAAAGUAACAUAUAUGUGCUGUCUGCGUUAUUUGACUUUUACGAUUACCUGUUGUCUAUUCUAUUAUGUCAUAUUAAGGAAUGUAAAAAAAAUAAUUCAAUUGACCUAGACAACGACGGUCUAAAGGGUGGAUAUACGAAUGGUAGACAUCCCAACCAAAUGUAUAUGAAAUCUUUAUUGACACGACAAAAGUACAGCGACUUUCGUGAGGAUUAUAACAAGUACUUACAAUACAACUAAGCAGACGUAUAUGCAUAUUUACAGAUAUGAAUAAGUCAACAUAUUAUUUCUAGCAUGUCAUUUACAUAAUUCAAACGUUGCCUGCAAAUUUCUUGAGUUACAAACAGACUUUUACCAAUCUAACGUUUUCGGGAGUUUCUCAACGCUACAAAUACACGUCCAUGCAGCCGUUUACUUUUUGGGACUUUUUGGAACUCGGAGUAAUACAUCAAUGGGACCUUACAAGUAUAUUGUGCAUACAAGCUGCAGCAGCCUUUCACUCCGUCACUUACAAGAAGAUACAACACAACGUUUGCUAGAUGUAAUAAUGUAUUAAUGUAGUGAUGUAUUAUUGUACUAUGAUUGUUAUUCUUAGACAGUUAUUCGUUUGAUGACGUAAACUGCAACAGACCGAGAUGUACAAGUAACCAAUGUUGAGUGAUAUGAGCGGAGUUGAGUAGAUGUCUGUCAGGUAAAACAGAAUACAAAGACGGAAGAUUUCUACGGCAGUUCGGGAGAGCAGACAUUUGUCUGGUACUGAGACAGAAUGUGAAGACAAGAGAGUGUAAGGUAAGAGAGUUCAGUUCAGGAGAGACAAUAGAGAACUUCAGUUAA
Long non-coding RNA from Branchiostoma floridae (Florida lancelet), 2689 nucleotides. RefSeq lists it as uncharacterized. The transcript is spliced from 3 exons. NCBI's taxonomy places the organism in Eukaryota, Metazoa, Chordata, Leptocardii, Amphioxiformes, Branchiostomatidae. The record is from RefSeq and is a predicted model, not a curated record.